Molecule: ribosomal RNA, 253 nt
Filed under: uncultured bacterium
Lineage: Bacteria
Description: partial 16S ribosomal RNA
Rfam family: Bacterial small subunit ribosomal RNA
Source: RNAcentral
UACGUAGGGUGCAAGCGUUGCCCGGAUUUAUUGGGCGUAAAGGGCGCGUAGGCGGCUCUGCACGUUCGUUGUGAAAUCGCCCGGCUCAACUGGGCGGGGUCAGCGGAUACGGCAGAGCUUGAGCAAGCUAGGGGGCAAUGGAAUUCCCGGUGUAGUGGUGGAAUGCGUAGAUAUCAGGAGGAACACCGGUGGCGAAGGCGGGUCUCUGGGCCGAUACUGACGCUGAGGAGCGAAAGCGUGGGGAGCGAACAGG